UCUAAUUUGACGCAUCGCUCACCGACCAUGGCCGAGGAGGGCCUUCCUUCCGGCCAAGCUGCCACGCCAACUGAAAUGGAACAGGAUCCAACGGACACUCUUUCAUCCUCGAGGACCUCGAACCCCGCUUUCUGCCAGAUGUCGACAGUUAUUUCUAAAAUGGUAGUUGAAGCCUCUCAUGAAGCCAACCUUCUCCAUGUGCGAGCUUGCCUGCACUGCGUCAUUCUAGUGAA
This 233-nucleotide long non-coding RNA is filed under the name Ixodes scapularis (black-legged tick). RNAcentral's name for it is "uncharacterized LOC115319930, transcript variant X1". Lineage: Eukaryota; Metazoa; Arthropoda; Arachnida; Ixodida; Ixodidae. The record is from RNAcentral.